UACAUAGUUAUCUCCGCUAGUACCUUAGUCAUUGUUGACCGACUGAGAUACCACGCUGGCGAGAAGCGGUUAGGCCCAAAUGAGACGGCAAGUUCUGUGACUCCCGCCCUCUCCCUCUCUCUCGCCCUCACAAGAUGUCGGUGCAGAUAGAAAACAAGGCGCUAUGAGUGUUCUGCCCUCCCGCGCCGCUGGAAAAGAGAGGAAGUGCUGAGGAAAACUGGGCUGACUUGCGGUAAAGUAGAUGUGUAUUAUUACAGCCCCAAUGGCAAGAAGUUCCGAAGCAAGCCCCAGUUGACCCGCUACCUCGGUGACACUUGACCUUUCCUCCUUCGACUUUCGGACUGGGAAGGUCAACCCAAUGCUGGCGAGGAAGAACAAGAAGCCCCGUGGUACCCUCUUUGAUUACAGCCGUGGGAUGCGUAACGAUGCAGCUCUGGUUCCCCCCAUCCGCCAGACAGCCAACAUAUUUAAAUAGCCAGUUACAGUAGUAAAGACCCAGCCAUCCAGCAAGGUCAAGGCCGACAUGAAGCACGGGUCACAGGACAAGCCAAAGCAGUCAGUGCAGAUAGAAAACGAGGACAUAUCAAGACAUGAAGAGAGAGUGGGUCUUGCUCGACACCAGCUGGAGAAGGCAUUGAGGGAGCUGCAGCCGUAGAAAGAGAGAGAGAGAGAGAGAGAGAGAGAGAGAGAGAGAGAGAGAGAGAGAGAGAGAGAAAUACAACAAAAAAAUAUAUUACUUUUUUAUUUAUAAGUGUAAAUAGAAAUACAUUAGUACUACUUCUGCUACUACUACUACUACUACUACUACUUUCAGGACACACAUAUAUACUAGAGAAUAAGAAGAGGUGAAGAAAAUGGUGAAGAAAUUGAAAAAAAAUUGUGAAAAAUGGAAAAAUACUGAAAGAAAUUAAGGGAAAUUAUGAAAAAAUGGUGAAAAAAAUAACAAACAGUGAAAAAAUGAGAAAAAAUGAAGAAAGAGUGAAGAAAUAAAAAAAAAAGGUUGUUGUAAGAGGUACACCCUCACAAACACUGUCACACCCCCCACAAACACUGCCACAGCCUCCCAAACAUUGCUACAUCUUCCCAAACAUUGCUAUACCCUCCCAAACACUGCUACACCCUCCCAAACACUGCCACACCUUCCAAAACAUUGCCACACCUUCCCAAAACACUGUCACACUCUCCUAAACACUGCGACACCCUCCCAAACACUGCCACACCCUCCCAAACACUGCUGCACCCCUUGAAACACUACCACAACCUCCCAAACACUGCCACACCCUCCCAAAGACCCCAAAACACCCAAACAGACCUUAAACUUUUGCUACGU
Molecule: long non-coding RNA, 1330 nt
Organism: Scylla paramamosain (green mud crab)
Lineage: Eukaryota; Metazoa; Arthropoda; Malacostraca; Decapoda; Portunidae
Exons: 5
Source: RefSeq, a predicted model, not a curated record